RNAcentral lists this long non-coding RNA (1086 nucleotides) under Homo sapiens (human). RNAcentral's name for it is "non-protein coding lnc-UGP2-1:1". Lineage: Eukaryota; Metazoa; Chordata; Mammalia; Primates; Hominidae. The record is from RNAcentral.
UAUCACUGUUUUAUUCCUUCUCACUAGGAAACUGGUAAAACCUUCAGCCUAACAUAGCUUAAGCAAAGGUCUAUCUGUAUUCUUUUUUCUUUCAUUAUCCUAUUACUCCAUUUGUGACUUUAUCUGGUCUCCAUUCCAUGCUGGUCUGUGUUAGAAAGACUUACAUAUCAAACAGCUGAACGUCUCUCAGUCUGUCUGUGAUGCUCCAAAUCCAGACAGCAGUCUUCAAUAAAUUUCUAUUACCCAAAUAGUCUGUUUUUAAUUUGUUGCUGUACAGAUCCAUGCAAAGCUAGAACUUCAGUAAGUUGCUGACCUCUUAACAUUUUCUUUGUAAACUCUUGUUGUAAGUCACUGAUAAUUGAGAAUGGCCUCUGUCUUUCUCCUAGUACUGCUCUCUGCUCCAAAUUCUCAUUUUUUUUUUAAUAUGCUGCUCAGCAGUUGUGAGAGAGGUAAUAUAGACCAGAAUUUUCUAAUUAUAUGUUUUGAAUGACUUAACGCUGUGAAGCAUAUUGAUUCUUUCAGGCCUGGGGCACGCAAGUUGGGAGCCCCUGGCCUGGUUGCAGUCCAGCUGCUAGCAGCAUUUACCAGAGCUUCCUGGAAGGUGGCCAAGAGGAGCAGCAUCUCUACAGGUAGAGUGGAUGAUAAAAAAACAUCUAAUAAUUCCACAGGCCUCUUAUCCAAGGUGAAGAGUGGUAUGUUCAGUAGCUGGUUCCUGAAGUAGAUGUCCAGAUAAUGGAACACCUACCUCCUUGGCUGUGCUCAGCACAUUGCAGCCAACAUGGAGCUCCUGGAUGGUGCAGCUCUGGUGGCUCUGAAACUCUGAUUUCGUAGACAUCGGAUAUUUUUCGUUAGCAGCUGAAGUGCCCUUUUUGUGGCAUCCAAAGUAGUUUUGGUCUGACUGAUCCAACAAUGCAUGCAUGUUUUAUAAAUUAAAGCUUCAUCAUUAUUUUAAAGUACUUUCUAGAAAAAAGUACUGCUAUUCAUUAUUGGCAUUUUGGUACUAUCUGGAUUUUUUUUUUAAGCUGUGUAUUCUUACUGAAAUUUAAAAAAAAAAUUGAAGUGCAAUUUAAAAUGGCACCAGAAGCC